UGGGGAAUCUUGCACAAUGGGGGAAACCCUGAUGCAGCGACGCCGCGUGAGCGAUGAAGGUUUUCGAAUCGUAAAGCUCUGUCCUAUGGGAAGAUAAUGACGGUACCAUAGGAGGAAGCCCCGGCUAACUACGUGCCAGCAGCCGCGGUAAUACGUAGGGGGCGAGCGUUGUCCGGAUUUACUGGGCGUAAAGGGUUCGCAGGCGGCAUGACAAGUCCGAUGUAAAAGGCGAAAGCUCAACUUUCGUAAGCAUCGGAAACUGUCAAGCUUGAGUGAAGGAGAGGCAAGUGGAAUUCCUAGUGUAGCGGUGGAAUGCGUAGAUAUUAGGAGGAAUACCGGUGGCGAAGGCGACUUGCUGGACUUCAACUGACGCUGAGGAACGAAAGCGUGGGUAGCAAACAGG
RNAcentral lists this ribosomal RNA (403 nucleotides) under bacterium. RNAcentral's name for it is "partial 16S ribosomal RNA". It matches the Rfam family "Bacterial small subunit ribosomal RNA", at positions 355 to 776 of the family's 1533-position model. The record is from RNAcentral.